Molecule: non-coding RNA, 393 nt
Organism: Archocentrus centrarchus (flier cichlid)
Lineage: Eukaryota; Metazoa; Chordata; Actinopteri; Cichliformes; Cichlidae
Source: the annotation of a RefSeq genome assembly
AUGAGGCUCUUGGUGCCAGCGCUGCUCUUCUGUGUGUUCACUGAUGUGCGCUGUGAAGACCUCAGUCCAGUCAACGAUGAGCACAAUGAGUCCACUUUGGAAGGCAACACUGUUUCUCUGUCCUACAAGUACCCAAAACUUUUAGCUACCGAUUAUUUCUUCUGGUAUCGACAAUAUCCGGGAAAACCACCUGAGUUUCUCAUCUCACACUCAGCAUUGGGAGUGGUAGUAAAUAAUCCAGUUUCUGGACUGAAGGUCAAAGUGGAGGAAAAACAGAUCCAUAUGAGCAUCUCCACUGCGGCAGUGGCAGAUUCUGCUGUGUACUACUGCGCCGUGAAGCCCACAGUGACUGGAAACCCUCAUUCCCUGUACAAAAACCUGACAAGUGCUUAA